RNAcentral lists this long non-coding RNA (718 nucleotides) under Rattus norvegicus (Norway rat). Its description in RNAcentral is "long non-coding RNA NONRATT015156". Lineage: Eukaryota; Metazoa; Chordata; Mammalia; Rodentia; Muridae. The record is from RNAcentral.
CUGACCUUCAAGGGUAACAUCAUGCCAUCUAACCACAUCCAUUCCAUCUAUUGGCUUUAUCCUUUGUUGUCACCACUAGGAUCUAAGUUUCAUCUCCGUUCUCUGAGUCAUUAUCAGCGUCAAUGCAAUGGUACUAGAAAAGUGGUCAAAAAAUGCCUGAAGCAAGUGACUGAUGCAAUGAGGGCCUUAAAAACACCCAUGGAAUGGACUAAUCAAUAAUGAAGCAAGUAGUCUUAAUUAUUUAUAUAAAAACUAUCCUAAGAUCUCCACAAAAACAUCUACUUCUAUCCCCAGCGUUAACACUGCAAACACGACAGUCUCUGGUGUGUCUCCACCUGCAUGCUGGUCUCACACCAACUUAGUCUAAGUAAAGUCCAUGUCUUGAUGCUCAUCUCUCCUGAGCUCAAGGCGCUUUCCAAUUAUUUUAUUAAAUCUCAAGAUAUCAUCAUCUUUUUGACGCUAUUUGCUUUUGCCCUCACUGAUUCCUCUAUCUUUGAAUGCCAAAAAUUAUCCCACCUGGACAGAUUAGUGACUAAUAUUUCUCUACUUUCAUUUCCAUAGACACCGUCACCUUGGGCCUCCGCCACAUCUUUAUUCUUCCAAUUACAUUCUGUGUCUCUCUCUUCUGUGUAGCAAGCAAAGACAGCACAUAAAUGAGCCCGUAUGGCUCAGAAUGGUUCAUAAAUGCUUUCCUUUAUUAAAAGAUGUCUCCCUUGGA